GCGGCAGUGGCGGAAUUGGUAGACGCACCAGCUUGAGGGGCUGGCGGCCGCAAGGUCGUGGAGGUUCGAGUCCUCUCUGCCGCACCA
This 87-nucleotide transfer RNA is filed under the name Deltaproteobacteria bacterium. RNAcentral's name for it is "tRNA-Leu". It matches the Rfam family "tRNA". Rfam says of the family: Transfer RNA (tRNA) molecules are approximately 80 nucleotides in length. Their secondary structure includes four short double-helical elements and three loops (D, anti-codon, and T loops). Further hydrogen bonds mediate the characteristic L-shaped molecular structure. tRNAs have two regions of fundamental functional importance: the anti-codon, which is responsible for specific mRNA codon recognition, and the 3' end, to which the tRNAs corresponding amino acid is attached (by aminoacyl-tRNA synthetases). tRNAs cope with the degeneracy of the genetic code in two manners: having more than one tRNA (with a specific anti-codon) for a particular amino acid; and 'wobble' base-pairing, i.e. permitting non-standard base-pairing at the 3rd anti-codon position. RNAcentral also lists the same sequence under 1 other name. Lineage: Bacteria; Pseudomonadati; Myxococcota; Myxococcia. The record is from RNAcentral.